RNAcentral lists this long non-coding RNA (188 nucleotides) under Ictidomys tridecemlineatus (thirteen-lined ground squirrel). Its description in RNAcentral is "lncRNA (ENSSTOG00000031704.1)". Lineage: Eukaryota; Metazoa; Chordata; Mammalia; Rodentia; Sciuridae. The record is from RNAcentral.
AGAAACAGAAAGCAUUUAUCAAAUUAAUGUUAUUCUGAUUGUUUUGCAGCAAAUUCCAGGUGUUUCUCCAAUAGGACAAUAUACCACUCUUUUGCCUUUGCUGGUUAUUCUUGCAAUUUCAGGCAUCAAAGAGGUUGUAGAAGAUUAUAAACGGUAUAUGGCAGACAAAGUAGUUAACUCAAAGACCA